RNAcentral lists this ribosomal RNA (598 nucleotides) under soil fungal sp. DM2-200. Its description in RNAcentral is "eukaryotic LSU rRNA". It matches the Rfam family "Eukaryotic large subunit ribosomal RNA", at positions 136 to 762 of the family's 3401-position model. Lineage: Eukaryota; Fungi. The record is from RNAcentral.
GUCCGAGUUGUAAUUUGUAGAGGAUGCUUUUGGUGAGGUGCCGCCCGAGUUCCCUGGAACGGGACGCCACAGAGGGUGAGAGCCCCGUCUGGCUGGCCACCGAGCCUCUGUAAAGCUCCUUCGACGAGUCGAGUAGUUUGGGAAUGCUGCUCAAAAUGGGAGGUAUAUGUCUUCUAAAGCUAAAUAUUGGCCAGAGACCGAUAGCGCACAAGUAGAGUGAUCGAAAGAUGAAAAGCACCUUGAAAAGAGGGUUAAAUAGUACGUGAAAUUGUUGAAAGGGAAGCGCUUGUGACCAGACUUGGGCGCGGCGGAUCAUCCGGGGUUCUCUCCGGUGCACUUCGCCGCGUCUAGGCCAGCAUCAGUUCGUCGCGGGGGAAAAAGGUUUCGGGAACGUGGCUCCUCCGGGAGUGUUAUAGCCCGUUGCAUAAUACCCUGCGGUGGACUGAGGACCGCGCAUCUGCNAGGAUGCUGGCGUAAUGGUCACCANCGACCCGUCUUGAAACACGGACCAAGGAGUCGUCUUCGUAUGCGAGUGUUCGGGUGUCAAACCCCUACGCGUAAUGAAAGUGAACGCAGGUGAGAGCUUCNGCGCAUCAUC